ACUUUUAUUCCCUUCUUACUCUCAGAAUAUAUUACUGAUUCUUUUAUUAUUAUCCAUUACCCUGAAAACUAUUAAUUCUGCUUAUAAAAUUGCAUCUACAUUGAAUGGGUCAAGAAGUAUGGGAAAACAAAGAAGUUUUGGUCAGAUGGAGUUGAUGAAAGGAAUAAGGAUAAAUUGAAUGAAGAGAUAGUGACUGGCUCAAAGUCACUUAGCAAGCUUUUACCACAUAGUGAGCUACAGCUGAAAGGUGAACUUCAACCAAGAUUCAUCCAUACAGAGGCUCAUCCACAUAUUCCUGGUCAAUGUAUUUUCUUUCCAAUUUUGAGUUUGAAAGCACAUCAUUGUAAAAGGCACAGCCCUCACAGCCACCUUCUUCCUUUGCUCCAGGAAGGAGGCUGCUAGAUUAGCUGAGCCCACUAAAGAUGGCAGUGAGCUGCUUGAAUGCACUGUUGGUGAAAAAAUAUGGUGAAGUCAGACUCCACAGCUGAUAAAUUUUACUGCGUUCUCACUCAGAUCAAGCUAGAAAGCAGGAGACUGUGAGUUCCAGUCCUGCCUUAGUCAUGCAUGCCAGCUGGGCGAUCUUGGACCAGUCACUCUCUCUCAGUCCAACUUACCCUCCAGGGUUGUUGUGGGGAAAAUAGGAGGAGGAAGAAUGUGUUGGAUAUGUUUGCCACCUUGAGUUAUUUGAAUAAAUGUGAAAUAGAAAUAAACAAACAUGAUGAAAAUAAUAAAUACUUGGUGGCUUUCUUAUAGCAAUCAGAUGGAAACUCAAAUCUAGUACAUGGGAGUAGGGGGUUACAUUUCUCAUUUCAAAGACACUUUGCCAGUGAGCCCAACUUCUCUCUUAGCAGAUAACUCUUGAAAUUUUGUAAAAGAAGAGACAUUUCCUGUCCCUUUAGUUCCUCUCUCUGAUUUUAAACAUUGCUAUCAUAUCUGUCAGAAUAUUCAUGAACUGGCAGAGACUUAGUAACAAGGUCAGGCAAUGAAUAGGCAUAGCAACUAAAUCAGCCAAUUAGGAGAUGAGACAGACUGGAGCCAGGCCGUGUCUCAGUCUGCAGCUUCUGAGUCUGUGCAGAGAAUUGAAACUGAAACUAAGCAGUCUGUGCAUGCUCUCUGCUCUGCUGAAAUGAAAUUAACUUUCAUUCUUACCUUGUGUUUUGCUUGUAACUGCUACUAAAUUGAAGAAGAAUCUAUAUUAGUAUUGUAUUCUUACCUUCAUGUAUUAUUAUAUAUAUAAAGAAGUUAAUGGAUCCUGCUG
Molecule: long non-coding RNA, 1258 nt
Organism: Pantherophis guttatus
Lineage: Eukaryota; Metazoa; Chordata; Lepidosauria; Squamata; Colubridae
Source: RefSeq, a predicted model, not a curated record